Long non-coding RNA from Thunnus maccoyii (southern bluefin tuna), 2231 nucleotides. RefSeq lists it as uncharacterized. NCBI's taxonomy places the organism in Eukaryota, Metazoa, Chordata, Actinopteri, Scombriformes, Scombridae. The transcript has 3 exons. The record is from RefSeq and is a predicted model, not a curated record.
CCUAUCAAGUGGAUGCGUCCAUCCAUGUAAUGUCACAGGUCAAGCGGGAAAUAAUCAAAUCAAGACUGAAAAUAACGCUAGCCUAUACAAAUAGAUAUAGGUCCAAAAAUUGAAAAGGUGGAAUGGAAUAGGUCAGAAAGAAAAAGAAAACAAAUCUUGUGUCUGAUGCUGGAAAAUGUUUUAAGUUAACACAUUUAUUCAAAAUAUCGAUGCCACUGCCACGCAAAAUCCUGUUAGCGUUAGCAUGCCUAGCUGCAGUGAUAUCAUUAAAAGUGACAACCUCCAGCAGGUGAUACUGCUAACAUUAGCUCAUGUAGUGACAGUGUUAACAGCAGAGCUCUGGACCUGACUCUCUCCAUUACACAAGUGAAAAAGACAUUCUUAUGGCUUUGGACACUAAUGGAAUAAUCAACAGGAUGACUGAUGAGAGGUCUUCUCACCGCCUAAGUUGUUCCCUCUGCUGCAGGAAGUCUUUAAUUCCAGGAGCCUUGCUGAGAGCCAUGACGAGUGAUGCGUCCCAGAGCAAUAAUAUUCAAGGGGUAGUAUUUUACAACAUACUCUCUGUUGGUAUUGAAGCCUUUGGAACAUUGCUCUGCUCAUUUUCAUACAUAUUGCCUCUUUUGUCUUCUUUGGAUGCACCUCUACCAAGAUCCAUCACAGAAGGAAAGUGUUUUCUUUAAGACGUAUCUUACCGUAGUCAACACUGCUGAAAUACCCCUUUGAAGCGAUUUUUCACAGCGGCAGAAUGUGUUCAGUGCUUUUUUAAACACACACACCUCCAGAGGAACUCAGGAGCAGUCAACCUACAACACUGGCUGCCUUGGGAAUCGGCUGUAACCACCAGCGUUCAGGCUUUUUUUCUUCCCUGUACUCAAUAUAAAUUGUUGCAACAAACAGAACUAAAAACAAGGCUCUUUGUUUGAAAUUACCACAUCCUGAUUAUAUGCUAUUUCCUGAGUCCACGUGACUUUAAUUUUUAUAUAUAUCAGGUAUACAGGUAUUAUUAUUACUUCAGAAUAAAAGCAAUCAAGUGGUGCUAAUACUGUUAGAUGGCUGUUCAUGACCUCCUUUGGAGAAGUGAGUGCUAAAAUGUGCCAGUGGAAACAAUUGGCACCUACUCUCACAAAAUAAUUGCUGGCAUGGGAGUAAAUUCUAUUAUCAUCAAAAUUAAAACUCACACUCAAGCACCUUUCAUUAAACAAAACUAAUGAAAAUGUUUUAAGAGAAUGGGGUUUUUGGAGUUAUUAAUUAAUAUAUUUCCAAUCACAAAGAGUUUUCCUAAAUGGAUAUGUAGUGGUUUGGAAAAGCAUGUCCUCCAAAAGCAAAAUGUGCCUUCAGAGUUCAUGCUGUAGAGAUUAAGAGCCGAAAGGUUACUAACCCCGUUUCUUAGUGUAAUCCACUGUAAAGCCUCAAAGUUAAGCGUUGUACAAGACACCAUAUAGGGAUACUUGUGUGAAGGAUUAUAAGGUGUCAUCAGAUAACCAACCCACACAAACCAUGAGCUGAACCACAAGAGAAGACAACAUCCCAGCGGUCGACUCAAAGCACCUCGGGCCAAAUCUGCAGCCACAGAUAACAGCAUGGCCUCAGCAGUCUGCAGAGGGUAAGGAGGACUUCACUGUUCCCAUAUGAAUUUGACCACCAAAGGUGACCGUGGAAAGAGAUCCUUAUCCUUGAAUGCUCACUCCACUGUCAGUUGACAUUCAUCUGCUGGCAAAGAGCCCGGCACUUGAGUUGUUAGCGUGUGGAGUGGACAUCCCAGGCCUGACCUGCCAUGACACUGCAGUAAUACAGUUUCAUUGGGAAAUAACAUAAGGCGGGUGGAAGUCCUUGUCAAGCUAAACACCACCUUGCAGUCUGCUUGACACGUUGGCAGCUUCCAGGGUGUUUUAUUUAGACGCAGCAGUUUGUGCAGUACAGCUAAAACAGAGGAAAAGGUAUUAUACUCUAGGGAGUGCAUUAAAAAAAGACCAAAACAAAAAGCAGGAAAAGUACUUUACGAGGUCUGACCUGAUCAGACCUCUAACAACUAGAGACAAAAGGAAAUUCACAACAUAUACUUUGUUAUAUCAAGUUACAAUUAAUACAGGUACUAAAAUAUAUUUCACCGGGAUAAAUUUUCUGCUUUUCUAUGUACGGAAGUUAUUAGCAUGAAGUAUAUAAACAAUUAAUAAAUGGCUUAUAACACACUAUAAUGUAGUCACUGUGCAGAAUGAUGUAUGUGCAGAGUU